Molecule: ribosomal RNA, 497 nt
Filed under: uncultured bacterium
Lineage: Bacteria
Description: partial 16S ribosomal RNA
Rfam family: Bacterial small subunit ribosomal RNA
Source: RNAcentral
GAUGAACGCUGGUGGCGUGCCUAAUACAUGCAAGUCGAGCGAACAGACGAGGAGCUUGCUCCUCUGACGUUAGCGGCGGACGGGUGAGUAACACGUGGAUAACCUACCUAUAAGACUGGGAUAACUUCGGGAAACCGGAGCUAAUACCGGAUAAUAUAUUGAACCGCAUGGUUCAAUAGUGAAAGACGGUUUUGCUGUCACUUAUAGAUGGAUCCACGCCGCAUUAGCUAGUUGGUAAGGUAACGGCUUACCAAGGCGACGAUGCGUAGCCGACCUGAGAGGGUGAUCGGCCACACUGGAACUGAGACACGGUCCAGACUCCUACGGGAGGCAGCAGUAGGGAAUCUUCCGCAAUGGGCGAAAGCCUGACGGAGCAACGCCGCGUGAGUGAUGAAGGUCUUCGGAUCGUAAAACUCUGUUAUUAGGGAAGAACAAAUGUGUAAGUAACUAUGCACGUCUUGACGGUACCUAAUCAGAAAGCCACGGCUAACUACGUG